This 2906-nucleotide ribosomal RNA is filed under the name Salmonella enterica subsp. houtenae serovar Houten. RNAcentral's name for it is "bacterial LSU rRNA". It matches the Rfam family "Bacterial large subunit ribosomal RNA". The record is from RNAcentral. Lineage: Bacteria; Pseudomonadati; Pseudomonadota; Gammaproteobacteria; Enterobacterales; Enterobacteriaceae.
UUAAGCGACCAAGCGUACACGGUGGAUGCCCUGGCAGUCAGAGGCGAUGAAGGACGUGCUAAUCUGCGAAAAGCGCCGGUAAGGUGAUAUGAACCGUUAUAGCCGGCGAUGUCCGAAUGGGGAAACCCAGUGUGAUUCGUCACACUAUCAUUAACUGAAUCCAUAGGUUAAUGAGGCGAACCGGGGGAACUGAAACAUCUAAGUACCCCGAGGAAAAGAAAUCAACCGAGAUUCCCCCAGUAGCGGCGAGCGAACGGGGAGGAGCCCAGAGCCUGAAUCAGCAUGUGUGUUAGUGGAAGCGUCUGGAAAGGCGCGCGAUACAGGGUGACAGCCCCGUACACAAAAGCGCAUGUGCUGUGAGCUCGAUGAGUAGGGCGGGACACGUGGUAUCCUGUCUGAAUAUGGGGGGACCAUCCUCCAAGGCUAAAUACUCCUGACUGACCGAUAGUGAACCAGUACCGUGAGGGAAAGGCGAAAAGAACCCCGGCGAGGGGAGUGAAACAGAACCUGAAACCGUGUACGUACAAGCAGUGGGAGCACAGGUUUACCUGUGUGACUGCGUACCUUUUGUAUAAUGGGUCAGCGACUUAUAUUCUGUAGCAAGGUUAACCGCAUAGGGGAGCCGGAGGGAAACCGAGUCUUAAUUGGGCGUUAAGUUGCAGGGUAUAGACCCGAAACCCGGUGAUCUAGCCAUGGGCAGGUUGAAGGUUGGGUAACACUAACUGGAGGACCGGACCGACUAAUGUUGAAAAAUUAGCGGAUGACCUGUGGCUGGGGGUGAAAGGCCAAUCAAACCGGGAGAUAGCUGGUUCUCCCCGAAAGCUAUUUAGGUAGCGCCUCGUGAAUUCAUCUCCGGGGGUAGAGCACUGUUUCGGCCAGGGGGCCAUCCCGGCUUACCAAUCCGAUGCAAACUGCGAAUACCGGAGAAUGUUAUCACGGGAGACACACGGCGGGUGCUAACGUCCGUCGUGAAGAGGGAAACAACCCAGACCGCCAGCUAAGGUCCCAAAGUCAUGGUUAAGUGGGAAACGAUGUGGGAAGGCCCAGACAGCCAGGAUGUUGGCUUAGAAGCAGCCAUCAUUUAAAGAAAGCGUAAUAGCUCACUGGUCGAGUCGGCCUGCGCGGAAGAUGUAACGGGGCUAAACCAUGCACCGAAGCUGCGGCAGCGACACUGAUGUGUUGUUGGGUAGGGGAGCGUUCUGUAAGCCGUUGAAGGUGUGUCGUGAGGCAUGCUGGAGGUAUCAGAAGUGCGAAUGCUGACAUAAGUAACGAUAAAGCGGGUGAAAAGCCCGCUCGCCGGAAGACCAAGGGUUCCUGUCCAACGUUAAUCGGGGCAGGGUGAGUCGACCCCUAAGGCGAGGCCGAAAGGCGUAGUCGAUGGGAAACGGGUUAAUAUUCCCGUACUUGGUGUUACUGCGAAGGGGGGACGGAGAAGGCUAUGUUGGCCGGGCGACGGUUGUCCCGGUUUAAGCGUGUAGGUGUGUGUUCCAGGUAAAUCCGGUUCACUUUAACACUGAGGCGUGACGACGAGGCACUACGGUGCUGAAGCAACAAAUGCCCUGCUUCCAGGAAAAGCCUCUAAGCCUCAGGUAACAUCAAAUCGUACCCCAAACCGACACAGGUGGUCAGGUAGAGAAUACCAAGGCGCUUGAGAGAACUCGGGUGAAGGAACUAGGCAAAAUGGUGCCGUAACUUCGGGAGAAGGCACGCUGACACGUAGGUGAAGUGGUUUACCCAUGGAGCUGAAGUCAGUCGAAGAUACCAGCUGGCUGCAACUGUUUAUUAAAAACACAGCACUGUGCAAACACGAAAGUGGACGUAUACGGUGUGACGCCUGCCCGGUGCCGGAAGGUUAAUUGAUGGGGUCAGCGCAAGCGAAGCUCCUGAUCGAAGCCCCGGUAAACGGCGGCCGUAACUAUAACGGUCCUAAGGUAGCGAAAUUCCUUGUCGGGUAAGUUCCGACCUGCACGAAUGGCGUAAUGAUGGCCAGGCUGUCUCCACCCGGGACUCAGUGAAAUUGAACUCGCUGUGAAGAUGCAGUGUACCCGCGGCAAGACGGAAAGACCCCGUGAACCUUUACUAUAGCUUGACACUGAACACUGGUCCUUGAUGUGCAGGAUAGGUGGGAGGCUUUGAAGUGUGGACGCCAGUCUGCAUGGAGCCAUCCUUGAAAUACCACCCUUUAAUGGCUGGUGUUCUAACGUGGGCCCGUGAACCGGGUUGCGGACAGUGUCUGGUGGGUAGUUUGACUGGGGCGGUCUCCUCCUAAAGAGUAACGGAGGAGCACGAAGGUUGGCUAAUCCUGGUCGGACAUCAGGAGGUUAGUGCAAUGGCAUAAGCCAGCUUGACUGCGAGCGUGACGGCGCGAGCAGGUGCGAAAGCAGGUCAUAGUGAUCCGGUGGUUCUGAAUGGAAGGGCCAUCGCUCAACGGAUAAAAGGUACUCCGGGGAUAACAGGCUGAUACCGCCCAAGAGUUCAUAUCGACGGCGGUGUUUGGCACCUCGAUGUCGGCUCAUCACAUCCUGGGGCUGAAGUAGGUCCCAAGGGUAUGGCUGUUCGCCAUUUAAAGUGGUACGCGAGCUGGGUUUAGAACGUCGUGAGACAGUUCGGUCCCUAUCUGCCGUGGGCGCUGGAAGAUUGAGGGGGGCUGCUCCUAGUACGAGAGGACCGGAGUGGACGCAUCACUGGUGUUCGGGUUGUCAUGCCAAUGGCACUGCCCGGUAGCUACAUGCGGAAGAGAUAAGUGCUGAAAGCAUCUAAGCACGAAACUUGCCCCGAGAUGAAUCUUCCCUGAGCCUUUAAGGCUCCUGAAGGAACGUUGAAGACGACGACGUUGAUAGGCCGGGUGUGUAAGCGCAGCGAUGCGUUGAGCUAACCGGUACUAAUGAACCGUGAGGCUUAACCUU